Molecule: ribosomal RNA, 254 nt
Filed under: uncultured bacterium
Lineage: Bacteria
Description: partial 16S ribosomal RNA
Rfam family: Bacterial small subunit ribosomal RNA
Source: RNAcentral
UACGUAGGGUGCAAGCGUUAUCCGGAAUUAUUGGGCGUAAAGAGCUCGUAGGCGGUUUGUCGCGUCUGCUGUGAAAACUGGAGGCUCAACCUCCAGCCUGCAGUGGGUACGGGCAGACUAGAGUGCGGUAGGGGAGAUUGGAAUUCCUGGUGUAGCGGUGGAAUGCGCAGAGUAUCAGGAGGAACACCGAUGGCGAAGGCAGAUCUCUGGGCCGUUACUGACGCUGAGGAGCGAAAGCGUGGGGAGCGAACAGG